Mustela erminea (ermine) is the source of this 4396-nucleotide long non-coding RNA. RefSeq lists it as uncharacterized. Lineage: Eukaryota; Metazoa; Chordata; Mammalia; Carnivora; Mustelidae. The transcript has 2 exons. The record is from RefSeq and is a predicted model, not a curated record.
CAGUUUGAUAAAUAUUAAGUGACUAUUACUUGGUUCUGGAAAUGGCCAAAUGGCUUGCCCUUGAGAAAACUCACAACCUAAAAGUGAUAAAACAUACACAAAUGGGGGGGGGGCAGGCAUAUUAACACCAUAAGUGAGAUGUAGAUAAGGAGAUUAAGGAAAGAGUUCAUGAACAAAGUGACAUUUGAGAUGAACUUCAUCAGGCAGAGUUAGUGGGGAGUGUACUCUAAGCAGAGGCAGUAUUUUGAGUCAUGAGUGUUUAGAGGCGGAAAAUACAGGCAUACUUGAAGAGUAGCGAGUAGACCACUAGUAGCUGGAGCAUAGCUUACUUGCUUGGUAGUAGCAGGACAUGAGGUCAGAAAGGUUGGUUGUGGUCCUGGUUUGAAGCACCUUAAAUAUCAUAUUGUGAAGGAUUGGAGUUUUCUUUCCAUCAUUCAAUAGCUAGCUUGGGGAUCAGUGGUAAAUAAAAACAGGCAUGAUCAUUGUCCCCAUGGAGUUUAGAGCCUGAUGUUAUUAUAAUCCUAGAAAUACAUGUACAACUGCAGUUGUCAUAAAUGGUACCAAACAAACAAACAAACAAAAGUACAUGGUGCUACGAAGAUAUUUAAGAAAAAAACUUGAGCUAGACAAGGAGAUUAGGAAAGGUUUUCUUGAAGACAUGGCAAAUGAGUUGAGAUGAGAGGGAUGUCAACUAGGUAAAGAAAGAUAACAAAGAAGGAUGGAAAGUGGAUUUGGGGUAGAGAGAGUAGCAUGUGCAAAUGCCUUUAGUAGGGAGGCAGCUGGGUAAUGGAAAAGGCAAGUAUGAGAGACUGACAGGUCAGAAUGGUAGGAGCAGAAAGGGUCCAGACCUUGUAGACUUUACGGACUUGGAUAUUUGUCCUAAGAGUGAUCGAAAGCAGGGAAUUGACAUAAUCCAGUUUUCAUUUUAAAAGUAUAAUUCUGGCUGUAAUGUGGAAAGUAAAUCAGUGACUUUCAGUCAAGGUGGUUCCGUAAAUUCACACUUUGAUAUACGACGUCUGUACCAAAUAUGUAUCAAUGAUAGAUGAACUAUAGAAACUGCAAACCAAAAGGAUAUUGCCAAGCUCAAAAACAAUGCAAAACACAAGUGAACUCUUGAGUAGUUGAAACCAGAGGCCUGCUUAGCUCUGAGUCCUAGAAUAGGCAUGGAGGCAGGGAUUUCAACUGCUUUGUGGUAGUAAAGAUUAAAAGUGUGCCAGGUGAGAUAGGACAAAGUCAGAUUUAUUGUUUAAAGCUGGAGCAAGAGUAAGCCUUCUCAAAAUGGCAGCACAUCUGAGGUGAGGGAAAAACAAAACAAAACAAAACAAAACAAAAACCUUUUUACUACCAUUUGAAGUUAAUGCAGUAUAACAAGUUGCAAGCCCAGGGUUGAAGACAGAAGAUAUAGUCUUACAAUCCACCAGUGACAGGAUCUGUGAUAUUCCUAUCACCUCAGGAACUAGGAAGACUAGUAAUUCCAAAACUUUUAGGUAGGGAUAGGAUCGAUAUAAUGGAAGUUAAGAACAGAGAGAAUGUAUAAGAGAGAAAGAACAAACAAAAACUCUUAACUUAAAAUGAAAAUGAAUAUACAAACUGAAAGUCCAAAGUGUGAGGAAAUUUAAGGCUAAAAAAGAAAACCAACAAAACACACAUUCACGGAUCAAAUUAAUUCAUUGAAGGUUCGAGUAUUUUAAGGUAUGUUUAGGGGCACCUGGAUGGCUCAGUCAGUUAAGCAUCUCACUCUUGAUUUUGGCUCAGGUCAUGAUCUUAGGAUCGUAAGAUUGAGGCUGGUGUAGGGCUCCAUGCUAGUGUGGUUCUGCUUAAGGUUCUUUCUCUCUUUCCAUCUCCCCCUACCCCAGGCUCUCAUUCUUUAGAGCUCUCUCUCAAAAAAAUAAAAGUAUGUUUUAUAUGCUCAGAUUCAAAUAAAUUAUUCCAUUUAAGGCAAGCAAGGAAAUAUGAAACAAAAAACAGGCAGAAGUAAAACAAGAACCAGAUGGAUGUUUGAAAGAAUCAGUUAAAACUCUUGAAUGAAAAAUAGUCAUUGAAAUAAUUCAGUAGACAUUAUAAAUUCUAGACUGGCCACAGUGAAAGAGUUCAUUAAUUGGAAGUUGGUACUGAGAAACUCACCCAGAGUUAAGCACAGAGAAGAUAAAUUUAGAUAGGGAGAGACCAGUUGGAAAUGGAUGAAUCUUCAAAUAUUUAGGAAAUAAAACUGGGAGAAUUUGAUAUUGAAUUAGAUAGGGGCUUGUGAAUUGGAGAACAUGAUUAAGGGUGACACCAGGGUGUGAAUUUGUUUAACAGGUUGGAAGGUGAUGCCCUUUACUGAGAGAUUGGAAGGGGUUUGGAAGGAAAAUCAUGAGUCUGGUUUUGGAUGUGUUGAGUUUGAUUCCUCCAGGAUAUUCAAAGGGAGCUACCUAAUAGAUAGUCCAGCAUAUAGCCCUAGAGUUCAGAAGAGAGGUCUGGGAAGGAUAUAGAAAUUUUUAACUCAAAUGCCUGUGGGUGAUAAUUGAAAUCAUAUGGAAGGAGAAAGACAUUCUAAGACAGAGCUUUAAGGACUUCAAUACAUAACUCUGUAUAGAAGAGGAUAAGCUUGCCAGAGGACGUGGAGAAGUGUCAGCAGAGAUGGGAGGUAAACUAGAAGAGUUAUGUUAUUUUAUGGCAGCCAAGGGAAGGCUGAGGUAGCCAAGGAAAGAGUGUUUCAAAAGGCAGGCAGAGAUUAAUAUUGUCAAAUAUUACACAACUAUCAUGAGGAGUGAGGAUCAGGAAAUAUUAUUGAAUAUAGUGAAAAGGAGAUGAUUGGUUUACUGUAGAGUGAGCUAUAGAAGUAGAGGGAAGGGACAAACAGCCAAAUGGAGUAGCUUGAGGGUUGUAUAGGAAAAACACACUGUGUGUUUCUCCUUUUUCACUCACAUAGAACAUUCCACACUUAAAUUCUGACAACAGAUGUGUGUUUUUCACACAUCAAGCAAUUAUCUGUGAUAUCAGCUGGUUGGCCUAUAAUUGAAUUAAAUUUUUGACAUUAACUGGAGUUAGUGCAGACUCCAUAGGUUAAGGGCUCUGCCCCACAGGACUUUGCAUCUCCCUCAGACCCCAGUUGUAAGUCCCAGGUUGUCACCUGCUCUUCUGACUGAUCAGCUGUAAAUCGGAGGUUCCCAUGACCCCUCCUUGAGUGUCAUCAUUUUCUAGAAUGGCUCUCAGAACUCAAGGAAACACUUAUUUAUGAUUACUGAUUUAUUAUAUAAUAAAAGAUAAGAUAAAGAAUACAGAUGAACAGCCAGAUGAGGAGCUACAGAAGCCAGGGUCUGGAAGGGUCCUGAGGACAGGAGCUUCCAUACAAGAGGAGUUGGGGUGUGUGCCAUGCUCCUGGCAUGUAGGCAGGAGCCUACCUAGAGCUUCUAGAGCAACCUAGAAGCUCUCCAAAUCCUAUACGUUAGGAAUUGUAUGGGGCUUCAUCAUGUAGGCACGAUCAUUAACUCAAUUCCCUACCCCUCUUCCUUUCCUGGAGGAUCUGCGUACUGGGGCUGAAAGUUCCAAGCUUCUAAUCAUGGCUUGGUCUUUCUGGUGACCAGCCCCUAUGCUAAAGCUACCCAGGAGCCCACCAAGAGUUACCUCAUUAGAACAAAAGAAGAACAAAAGACACUCCUGUCACCUAGGAAAUGCCAAGGGUUUUAGGAGCUCUGUGCCAGGAACUGGGACAGUAACUGAUAUGUAUUCCUUCCAUUAUUUCACAAGGAGUAAAGGAAAUUAAGACAGGAAGCAGGGAGGAUAAAACUGGGCAGUAUCUGAAAGGGGAUAGAUUGAAUGGACAAGUGGGAGACGAUCCAGAUAGGGGUUGAAGCUGACUAUGUACAGGAAAAGGAGUGAAUGAUAGUGUAUUCAAGAACGUGGAAAACAACAGGAUCCAAAGCGUAGAGAGUGGAAUAACCCAAAACAGCAAGUGUGGAGGGGAGGAGAUGCAGCUCUUUUCCAACAGAGGGUAUACUGUUUGUCUAUGGAACUUUUUUCACAGAGCAUUUUGAAGGACAUAUUAUUCAAAAUACACUUGGGGAAUUUUUGCCUUAAAAUGUAACUGUCUUCAGAACUUUCUAAGUCAUCAAGUACUAUUCACUUGUUAUAUGAGAAGCUAUAACAGAUAUUCAGAAUUAAUGUUUUUAAUGCUUUUUAAUCCUGGACUCCUUUUAGAAUAAAUUAAAGGUAAUUUUAGAUAGUAAAUGUUCUUUACACUUUCUUAAGAUUAGUCUGUAAGAGCAAAGAAAUUGUGUAUUAAUGUAGUUUUAAGCUUUAUUUAAUUUUGCUUGACCUUGCUACUAAUAACACCUACAUUUUAGUAUAAGGGUGUUCUUCUGAUAGGCUUGAUCAUUUUAUUACUGUGUUGAGGCAAAAAAAAAAAAAAAAAAAA